AUUGAACGCUGGCGGCAUGCUUUACACAUGCAAGUCGGACGGCAGCACAGAGAAGCUUGCUUCCUGGGUGGCGAGUGGCGAACGGGUGAGUAAUAUAUCGGAACGUACCGAGUAAUGGGGGAUAACUAAUCGAAAGAUUAGCUAAUACCGCAUAUUCUCUGAGGAGGAAAGCAGGGGACCUUCGGGCCUUGCGUUAUUCGAGCGGCCGGUAUCUGAUUAGCUAGUUGGUGGGGUAAAGGCCUACCAAGGCGACGAUCAGUAGCGGGUCUGAGAGGAUGAUCCGCCACACUGGGACUGAGACACGGCCCAGACUCCUACGGGAGGCAGCAGUGGGGAAUUUUGGGCAAUGGGCGCAAGCCUGAUCCAGCAAUGCCGCGUGUCUGAAGAAGGCCUUCGGGUUGUAAAGGACUUUUGUCAGGGAAGAAAAGGCUGGUGCUAAUACCGACAGCUGAUGACGGUACCUGAAGAAUAAGCACCGGCUAACUACGUG
Molecule: ribosomal RNA, 490 nt
Filed under: uncultured bacterium
Lineage: Bacteria
Description: partial 16S ribosomal RNA
Rfam family: Bacterial small subunit ribosomal RNA
Source: RNAcentral